UCAUGGCGCCUCAUCUACCCAUCACUACUGAUUACAGUACAAUUCAGGAUCAGGCGGUCUCAAGGUCAUAAAACAGGCAAGGUAGUUAUCAGACAGACUCGGUCGACAAGGCAGGCAAGGAUCAGGCCGGAGUUGGUAACAGUGGUCAAAAACAAGGUCAGGACCAAGAAACAGAACAAGAACAAGAACGCUGUAUAGUGGAGGGACCACUGCAGGUCCAUGACUGGGUGUUCAUCAGAGUCAUAAAAUGCAAGAAUUGGACCUCAUCCCAAUGGGAGGCCUGUACAGAGUGACGCUGACAACUGGCUUCUACGUGAUAACACCACAGCAGACGACUUCCAAGGGUCAGCAAGAGAUUGACCUGAAGGAAAGUGAUCGGAUCUGGACAUCAGACGUUCCCAUGGACAAAAAGCUAUGGACUACAGGCCAGAACGUGGCACUAUCCCUAUUUCCAUGGUUGGGGGUAGGAAAAAUCAUGCUAAGAGUUAAAACCAUAAAUUACUGCAUGACCCAACAGGCACUCCGUGACCUACAGCACAUAUCCAAUGUGCAGACGGGUGACGUAAUGAAGGACAAAUCCUGGUUUGAUUGGUUUAGGUCCGGCACAGGAAUGAUAUCCUGAAGAUCUUUGAACCGGUUCUUGUGAUUCUCCUGGUUCUGAUGCUGAUUGUGUUCUGCGUAAUUCCCUGUUUGAGGGCCAUGAUCAUCAGGCUGGUGAAUCAAGGCCUUCUCAGGGUGUGCGCAGUCAUGCACUCUUGACAAAUACACUAUACACCUUUAAAGCUUCAUAACUGAAGAGAACCUCCACGAUGUCCACGGAAAUGGACGCUAAGCUGUGAAUUUUGUGCUUCUGUGCUUUUGACCCUACGAUGUUGCAACCCUUUUUCCAUGUUUUAUGAUGACUGUGUGAAAAUCGAAAGAAGUUGUGCUGUUCUGAUGUAUGCAUGAUUGUUAAAUGAAUGUUUCAAUGUUAAACAGGGAAAUGUUGGAAAAAUACUCCAUUUAAUCAUUGAAACAUAUUUUGCUGAAGCCUCGUUAGCUGUGCUAUAGCUUUGAAGUUUCCUCCCUUCUGCUUUGCAAGAAAUAGGGAGUACCAGUGUGUAGCAUUGUUAUCUGAUGAGCCCAAUGCUUGCUUUGUGCAGAAAAUAUUUACCACGUACUGUGUGACUAUGCAGCUCCCAGAAUGCAAUACAUAUUAUGAGCUGAAUCCUUGUCUUCUCUUCAGUGAGAGGAAGUUGCCUUUGCUGUAAACUGCUCACUCCUUGCAAGUAAAAUCCUGAAGAAGGUC
Molecule: long non-coding RNA, 1288 nt
Organism: Betta splendens (Siamese fighting fish)
Lineage: Eukaryota; Metazoa; Chordata; Actinopteri; Anabantiformes; Osphronemidae
Exons: 2
Source: RefSeq, a predicted model, not a curated record